GUCAGCAUGGCAUAGUGGUUUGAGUGUUGGACCAUGACUCUGGAGACCAGGGUUUGAUUCUUAGUUUGGACA
Phrynosoma platyrhinos (Desert horned lizard) is the source of this 72-nucleotide non-coding RNA. NCBI's taxonomy places the organism in Eukaryota, Metazoa, Chordata, Lepidosauria, Squamata, Phrynosomatidae. The record is from the annotation of a GenBank genome assembly.